Molecule: ribosomal RNA, 491 nt
Filed under: uncultured bacterium
Lineage: Bacteria
Description: partial 16S ribosomal RNA
Rfam family: Bacterial small subunit ribosomal RNA
Source: RNAcentral
AGUGAACGCUGGCGGUAGGCCUAACACAUGCAAGUCGAACGGCAGCACAGUAAGAGCUUGCUCUUACGGGUGGCGAGUGGCGGACGGGUGAGGAAUACAUCGGAAUCUACUUUCUCGUGGGGGAUAACGUAGGGAAACUUACGCUAAUACCGCAUACGACCUACGGGUGAAAGCAGGGGAUCUUCGGACCUUGCGCGAUUGAAUGAGCCGAUGUCGGAUUAGCUAGUUGGCGGGGUAAAGGCCCACCAAGGCGACGAUCCGUAGCUGGUCUGAGAGGAUGAUCAGCCACACUGGAACUGAGACACGGUCCAGACUCCUACGGGAGGCAGCAGUGGGAAUAUUGGACAAUGGGCGCAAGCCUGAUCCAGCCAUACCGCGUGGGUGAAGAAGGCCUUCGGGUUGUAAAGCCCUUUUGUUGGGAAAGAAAAGCAGCAGGUUAAUACCCCGCUGUUCUGACGGUACCCAAAGAAUAAGCACCGGCUAACUUCGUG